This 233-nucleotide ribosomal RNA is filed under the name uncultured bacterium. RNAcentral describes it as "partial 16S ribosomal RNA". It matches the Rfam family "Bacterial small subunit ribosomal RNA", at positions 1287 to 1519 of the family's 1533-position model. The record is from RNAcentral.
CUCAGUUCGGAUCGCAGGCUGCAACCCGCCUGCGUGAAGCUGGAAUUGCUAGUAAUCGCGGAUCAUCAUGCCGCGGUGAAUACGUUCCCGGGCCUUGUACACACCGCCCGUCACACCAUGGGAGCCGGUAAUACCCGAAGUCGGUAGCCUAACCGCAAGGAGGGCGCCGCCGAAGAUAGGAUUGGCGACUGGGGUGAAGUCGUAACAAGGUAGCCGUAUCGGAAGGUGCGGCU